Molecule: ribosomal RNA, 439 nt
Filed under: uncultured bacterium
Lineage: Bacteria
Description: bacterial SSU rRNA
Rfam family: Bacterial small subunit ribosomal RNA
Source: RNAcentral
AACGCGAAGAACCUUACCUGGGCUUGACAUGUGAGUGACCGCCAUGGAAACAUGGCUUCCCUUCGGGGCACUUUCACAGGUGGUGCAUGGCUGUCGUCAGCUCGUGUCGUGAGAUGUUGGGUUAAGUCCCGCAACGAGCGCAACCCCCGUCGCAUGUUGCCAGCAUUCAGUUGGGGACUCAUGCGAGACUGCCGGUGACAAACCGGAGGAAGGUGGGGAUGACGUCAAGUCCUCAUGCCCCUUAUGUCCAGGGCUACACACGUGCUACAUUGGCGCAUACAGAGGGCUGCGAUACCGCGAGGUGGAGCGAAUCCCUUAAAGUGCGUCUCGGUUCGGAUUGCAGGCUGAAAUUCGCCUGCAUGAAGGCGGAGUUGCUAGUAAUCGCGGAUCAGCAUUGCCGCGGUGAAUACGUUCCCGGGCCUUGUACACACCGCUAGUC